RNAcentral lists this ribosomal RNA (511 nucleotides) under uncultured bacterium. Its description in RNAcentral is "bacterial SSU rRNA". It matches the Rfam family "Bacterial small subunit ribosomal RNA", at positions 28 to 531 of the family's 1533-position model. The record is from RNAcentral.
GAUGAACGCUAGCGACAGGCCUAACACAUGCAAGUCGAGGGGCAGCACGGUGUAGCAAUACACGGGUGGCGACCGGCGCACGGGUGAGUAACGCGUAUGCAACCUGCCUACUACAAGGGGAUAACCCGUUGAAAGACGGACUAAUACCCUAUAACACAGGGAAUCCGCAUGGAUAUAUUUGUUAAAGAUUUAUCGGUAGUAGAUGGGCAUGCGUUCCAUUAGCUUGUUGGUGAGGUAACGGCUCACCAAGGCAACGAUGGAUAGGGGAACUGAGAGGUUGAUCCCCCACACUGGAACUGAGACACGGUCCAGACUCCUACGGGAGGCAGCAGUGAGGAAUAUUGGUCAAUGGACGAGAGUCUGAACCAGCCAAGUCGCGUGAAGGAAGACGGCCCUACGGGUUGUAAACUUCUUUUGUAAGGGAUAAAUAGUCUUACGCGCUAAGACGUUGCAGGUACCUUACGAAUAAGGAUCGGCUAACUCCGUGCCAGCAGCCGCGGUAAUAGUCACG